UGGGGAAUAUUGCACAAUGGACGAAAGUCUGAUGCAGCAAUGCCGCGUGUGUGAAGAAGGCCUUAGGGUUGUAAAGCACUUUCAGUAGGGAGGAAAAGUUCAAGAUUAAUACUCUUGGGCCCUGACGUUACCUACAGAAGAAGCACCGGCUAACUCCGUGCCAGCAGCCGCGGUAAUACGGAGGGUGCAAGCGUUAAUCGGAAUUACUGGGCGUAAAGCGCGCGUAGGCGGUUAAGUAAGUCAGAUGUGAAAGCCCCGGGCUCAACCUGGGAACUGCAUUUGAUACUGCUUAACUAGAGUGUGGUAGAGGAGAGUGGAAUUUCAGGUGUAGCGGUGAAAUGCGUAGAGAUCUGAAGGAACAUCAGUGGCGAAGGCGACUCUCUGGACCAACACUGACGCUGAGGUGCGAAAGCGUGGGUAGCAAACAGGAUUAGAUACCCUGGUAGUCCACGCCGUAAACGAUGUCAACUAACUGUUGGGCGGGUUUCCGCUUAGUGGUGCAGCUAACGCAAUAAGUUGACCGCCUGGGGAGUACGGCCGCAAGGCUA
This 548-nucleotide ribosomal RNA is filed under the name uncultured bacterium. RNAcentral describes it as "bacterial SSU rRNA". It matches the Rfam family "Bacterial small subunit ribosomal RNA", at positions 355 to 896 of the family's 1533-position model. The record is from RNAcentral.